UAUACUGCAGUCGAGCGGACUCUUCGGAGGUCAGCGGCGGACGGGUGAGUACACCUGGGCAACCUGCCUGUAAGACUGGGAUAACUCCGGGAAACCGGAGCUAAUACCGGAUAACCUUUUGAACCGCAUGGUUCAAAAUUGAAAGACGGUUAUGCUGUCACUUACAGAUGGGCCCGCGGCGCAUUAGCUAGUUGGUGAGGUAAUGGCUCACCAAGGCGACGAUGCGUAGCCGACCUGAGAGGGUGAUCGGCCACACUGGGACUGAGACACGGCCCAGACUCCUACGGGAGGCAGCAGUAGGGAAUCUUCCGCAAUGGACGAAAGUCUGACGGAGCAACGCCGCGUGAGUGAUGAAGGUUUUCGGAUCGUAAAGCUCUGUUGUCAGGGAAGAACAAGUGCGGGAGUCACUGCCCGCGCCUUGACGGUACCUGACCAGAAAGCCACGGCUAACUACGUGCCAGCAGCCGCGGUAAUACGUAGGUGGCAAGCGUUGUCCGGAAUUAUUGGGCGUAAAGCGCGCGCAGGCGGUCUUUUAAGUCUGAUGUGAAAGCCCCCGGCUCAACCGGGGAGGGUCAUUGGAAA
This 582-nucleotide ribosomal RNA is filed under the name Bacillus sp. CH113b_4T. Its description in RNAcentral is "bacterial SSU rRNA". It matches the Rfam family "Bacterial small subunit ribosomal RNA", at positions 50 to 632 of the family's 1533-position model. Lineage: Bacteria; Bacillati; Bacillota; Bacilli; Caryophanales; Bacillaceae. The record is from RNAcentral.